Molecule: non-coding RNA, 2437 nt
Organism: Peromyscus maniculatus bairdii (prairie deer mouse)
Lineage: Eukaryota; Metazoa; Chordata; Mammalia; Rodentia; Cricetidae
Source: RefSeq, a predicted model, not a curated record
CGGUGCCUGCCUGCCGGGUGAGGAGAAUGCGGCGCUGGGGCUGAGCUCUUCCGCAGCGGCGGCGGCGAUUUUCUCUCUUUGCCUCCCUCUCCUCUUGUUUUUAAGCGAGGGCAGUUUUGAGAAGUGAGCACAGGAUAAGCUCCGUCCAAUUAUUUCCAGGAAGCUGUGUCAAGCCCUGAGAAUCUAGAAUCCUGUAGAAGACAAGGCUCUGAGAGACUCUGUAGACUGGGUUAAUUGAGAUGGAAGACGCAUUAGAAAUGAAGGCAGUACCAUUCUGACAGUGGAUGCAUCGUGCCCAGCUGCCUCAUGAUCCUGCUCCGUUGCCGCCCACCUCUCGCCUUGACGGACUGAAGCUUCCGACUGUGAUCCUUCCAACUUACAGAAGGGGUUGCUUUCCAACAUCAAUUAUAUAAUUGAAGAUAACAUGCACACAAAGACGCAAGGAAGCAGAAAUUAGAGCCACCAUGAACAGCACACCUCUGAAGCAGAUCCAGGGGCCAUCAGGAGAGUAGAAUGACCAGAAGCAGACUGGCUUCAGGCAGGCCGGUGGAGAUGUGUUGCAACCGUGAACUACUUCUUGUUGGACAACAUGGUGUUGACAAGUGUCUCUGUUUUAUUUUGCUUUCUUGGACUGUGUGUUUCUUAGUGCCUGGGCUUCUCCAUACUUCUCCUUCUAGUUCAUCAACUCUCAGGUACUUGCUUAGCUAUGGCAUCUGAAUCUGGAUGACACAUUUGAAGGAGAGUGUAGUACAAGACACGCUAAAUAGCAUGAAGAUGAAAAGCCAGCCAAACCCAAAAUGAGGUGACAAAGGGAUAUUUUAUUUUAUGUAUAUGUUAAUGAUUGGUAGGAAUGUUGAUGGAACCCAAACCAGAGACACUGCACCUGAGUGCUGUAACCAACACCUCCCUGGUUGUGGACGUUCUGUAUGUUUGUAGAUCAAACUCAGAUUUGGGAGCAGGGUCUAUGCUCACAGGAGGAAGAGGCUGGGACGGGAAAAUGGAAAAUUUUGACAUCCAAAUGAACCAGCUGGGGUUUAGAAGAGUGUGUUCUGCCCUUGGUGGGCAGGAAGACAGCUGGAGUGUAAGCUGAAAAGCCAGGAUGCAGCCCAGAGAUGGAAAAGGGCAAUGACCUCAGAGCAGCUUCCAGCACAGGUUCCAAGCGGGGCACAGUCACCCUGGGGACUGAAGGAAGCAUGGCUAGCUAGUCCUGUCCAUCUAUUCUUAAACAAUCAUGCUCUUAAGCAUUUUAUAUACUACAUUAUUAUAGCAUAACAUAUGUAGUUUACAUAUAAGCAAGUAUUUGAAGAUAAAUAUGUGUAUAAGGAGUAUUAAAUCAGUUUUAUGGGUGGGGUGUUGUAUUUCAUGCCUAGGUACAGAGAGAUUAAUCCGCCGGUUAAUCCAGCUUUGAAGAAUGCACAGUGCUCUUGUGCUGGUAUCUGUCCCUUCUCUCUCCUGUCUUCCUUUCUUGGUUGGAUCUAGUGUUUGUUCAUUGCAAAAAAUGUUCUUAAUCCAUAUAAACUGCACCAACUAGAAAAAUAUUAUUUCUAAAUGUAACAAUAUAAUAUUUACUUUUAGGAUUUUAGCAGCUUUUCACAAAUACCCAACAUCUCAGUUGUCUUUUCUUUCAGAAACUGUAUUUUCAUGUCCAGGUAUGGUGGUGCAUGCCUGUAAGCCCAUCACUCUUGCAGGUGAAGGUAGACUGAUUAGAAAUUCAAGGUCAUCCUCUAUUACACAGCAAGUUGGGGCCAUCCUGUACUGCAUGAGUCCUUAUCCUACCCCGACCCUUAAUAAAAAAGAAGCCACAUUUUCAUAUCUUUUUUUUUGAUUUUGAAAUCAAACUAAAAUGUGAAUUAUAGUUAUGAUUAAAACUAAAAAGAUUAUUAAAAUGUAUUGUAAUUUUGGCUAUUAUUGCAGAAGUAAGUGAUAAUUUUGGCAAUUUGAGUUCUGAAGUGACUAUGUUCAUUUCUAUCCAUCUGUCUUUACUGCCUAGACAACAGCAACAUUGUAACAGCCAGAGCUGCGACAUCAGGAUAAGGAUGACGUUCAGAUAAGAAACUAGCAUGUAUUUACAGAAUAUGAGACUCAACAGGACACUCAGUUUUCAGCUGUGUCUAGCAGCAACAUGUCCGAUAUUUUCCAUAUUUACUGAGUACCUCUAACAUGAGAGGGAUUGUGCCAGCUGAUGUAGAAACGGAGGGAGAGGGGAUAUAGGAAAACACAUGUUUAGAUCUUAAGGAGCUUGUGUGUAGUUGGGGCUGAUAAACUGUGUACACAUAUGCAAAAGCUAACCCACAGUUUAGUAUUUGAGUGCCAAAUGUGUAUUAUAAAUAAUAUGCCUUGAAUUGGCCAUAAAGAGAAUAUACUUUUCCUUUUGUUUUUUCCCUAUAUUUUAAUCUCACUGAUUUUUUUGAAAUGCAUGCAAAAUUGUUUGGCUCAU